CUACGGGAUGCAGCAGUGGGGAAUAUUGGACAAUGGGGGCAACCCUGAUCCAGCAAUACCGCGUAUGUGAAGAAGGCCCGAGGGUUGUAAAGCACUUUCAGUAGGGAGGAUUAAUGUUACGGUUAAUACCCGUGAUAUUUGACGUUACCUACAGAAGAAGCACCGGCUAACUCAGUGCCAGCAGCCGCGGUAAUACUGAGGGUGCAAGCGUUAAUCGGAAUUACUGGGCGUAAAGCGCGCGUAGGUGGUUAGAUCAGUUGGGUGUGAAAGCCCCGAGCCUAACCUGGGAACUGCAUUCAAUACUGUCUAGCUAGAGUAUGGUAGAGGGAAGUGGAAUUCCGCAUGUAGCGGUGAAAUGCGUAGAGAUGCGGAGGAACACCAGUGGCGAAGGCGACUUCAUGGACCAAUACUGACACUGAGGUGCGAAAGCGUGGGGAGCAAACAGGAUUAGAUACCCUUGUAGUC
RNAcentral lists this ribosomal RNA (465 nucleotides) under uncultured bacterium. Its description in RNAcentral is "partial 16S ribosomal RNA". It matches the Rfam family "Bacterial small subunit ribosomal RNA", at positions 339 to 795 of the family's 1533-position model. The record is from RNAcentral.